GCCGAGGUGGCUGAGUGGAAAGGCGCAGGCCUGGAAUAGCCUGUGUUCCGGAAGGGACUCAAGGGUUCAAAUCCCUUCCUCGGCG
RNAcentral lists this transfer RNA (85 nucleotides) under Candidatus Methanophagales archaeon. Its description in RNAcentral is "Methanophagales archaeon tRNA-Ser". It matches the Rfam family "tRNA". From Rfam's summary of the family: Transfer RNA (tRNA) molecules are approximately 80 nucleotides in length. Their secondary structure includes four short double-helical elements and three loops (D, anti-codon, and T loops). Lineage: Archaea; Methanobacteriati; Methanobacteriota; Methanomicrobia; Candidatus Methanophagales. The record is from RNAcentral.